This 1485-nucleotide ribosomal RNA is filed under the name uncultured Bordetella sp. Its description in RNAcentral is "partial 16S-23S ribosomal RNA intergenic spacer". It matches the Rfam family "Bacterial small subunit ribosomal RNA". Lineage: Bacteria; Pseudomonadati; Pseudomonadota; Betaproteobacteria; Burkholderiales; Alcaligenaceae. The record is from RNAcentral.
CAUUCCGGUUACCACGUAUUGCUCUGGGCAUCGAAUAACAGAGAGUUCGAUUGGCGUCGUUGAACGCUGGCGGGAUGCUACACAUGCAAGUCGAACGCCAGCUGGCACGGACUUCGGUCUGGUGGCAGUGGCGAACGGGUGAGUAAUGUAUCAGGGCAGUAUGCCUAGUAGCGGGGGAUAACUACGCGAAAGCGUAGCUAAUACCGCCGCCCUUCAGGAAAGCAGGGACAGCGGGCCUCACUGUCAGAACCGGCCGAUAUCGGAUUAGCUGGUUGGUGAGGUAACGGUUCACCGGGCUGACGAUCCGUAGCUGGUUUGAGGACGACAGCCACACUGGACUGAGGCAGCUGAGCUCUGGAGGCAGCAGUGGGGUACGGACAAUGGGGGAAACCUGAUCCAGCCAUCCCAUGGCGUGUACCGAUGAAGGCCUUCCCGGGUUGUAAACGCUGGCGGAAAAAACAGCUGCGGAUAAUACCCCGGUAAACUGACAAUACCUGCAGAAUAAGCACCGACAACACGAUACUACAUGGCGCGGUAAUACGUAGGGUGCAAGCGUUAAUCGGAAUUACUGGGCGUAAAGCGUGCGCAGGCGGUUCGGAAGAAAGAUGUGAAAUCGACUUAACUUUGGAACCUGCAUUUUUAACUACCGAGCUAGAGUGUCUCAAAGGAGGUGGAAUUUACGCGUGUAGCAGUGAAAUGCGUAGAUAUGCGGAGAACACCGAUGGCGAAAGGCAACCUCCUGGGGUGCCGCGGCCGCUCAUGCGAAAAACGUGGGAGCAAACGAAGUUGACCCUGGUAGUCCACGCCCUAAAGCAGAUGUCAACUAGCUGUUUGGGGCCUUCGGGCAUGUGCUUCAAGCCUAACGCGCCGUGAAGUGCACCUGGGAGAGUACGGUCGCAAGAUUAAAACUCAAAGGGUUGACGGGGACCCGCACAAGCAGUGGAUGAUGUGGAUUAAUUCGAUGCAACGCGAAAAACCUUACCUACUAUCAACUGUUUGGAAUCCCGAAGAGAUUUAGGGUACUCGCAAGAGAACCGGAACACAGGUGCUGCGUGGCUGUCGUCGAAAAUCGUGUCGUGAAUCUUGGGUUAAGUCACAACAACAGCGCAACGCGCCAUUGGUGCUGAAGGCACUCUAAUGAGACUGCCGGUGAUGACAAACCGGAGGAAGGUGGGGAUGACGUCAAGUCCUCAUGGCCCAUAUGGAGUAAGGGCUUCCCCCAUCAUGCAAAUGGUCGGGACAGAGGAGUCGCCAACCCGCGAGGAGCAGUCCAGAAACCCGAUCGUAGUCGGAUCACAAGUCUGCAACUCGACUGCGUGAAGUCGGAAUGCUAGUAAUCCGCGGAUCAGCAUGUCGCGGUGGAGCGUUCCCGGGUCUUGUGCCACCACCAUCACCAUGGGAAUUGGGUUUGCAAGUAGUUAGCCUAACCGUAAGGAGGGCGUUCUCACAGUAGGAUUCAUGACUGGGGUGAGAUGUCUAAGGUAA